RNAcentral lists this transfer-messenger RNA (452 nucleotides) under Candidatus Curtissbacteria bacterium. It matches the Rfam family "transfer-messenger RNA". From Rfam's summary of the family: Bacterial tmRNA, also known as 10Sa RNA or SsrA, is named for its dual tRNA and mRNA-like properties. Its role is to liberate the mRNA from a stalled ribosome. The record is from RNAcentral. Lineage: Bacteria; Candidatus Curtissiibacteriota.
GGGGAUGUAUUGCCUCGACGAAAUAGCUCGUUAAAAACUGCAAGCCGAGUGAUUCUAAAUAACUCGCAAAAUAUUUUUAGAAAAAAUAACUGUCAGCAAAAUUUCUGACAAAGUAAACGGUUCUCUUGCAGGAUUGUUUGCUCCUCGUCCGUCUGCUUACGCUUUUGCCUAAGUUCGACCGAUAAGGACUUUAAAUGGUUUUUCUCCAACGGAACUAUUUAGGGUACAACUUAGUUGGAGUCAAAGCGCUCAUUUGCUAAUUAUGGGUAUGCGGAAAGAUAUUAUUAAUAUCUCUUUAAAAAGAUAUUUAUAAUUUAAAUUAGAUAGUUUUGACCUCUAACUUGUUAGUGAGACUAAGGGCUCAGAAUGAUUUUUAUAAACACUAACUACGCUUGUAGAAGUUUUUGUCGGAAUAUUAUCGGACGCGGGUUCAUAGCCCGCCAUCUCCACAU